Molecule: ribosomal RNA, 253 nt
Filed under: uncultured bacterium
Lineage: Bacteria
Description: partial 16S ribosomal RNA
Rfam family: Bacterial small subunit ribosomal RNA
Source: RNAcentral
UACGUAGGGGGCAAGCGUUGUCCGGAAUCAUUGGGCGUAAAGCGCGUGUAGGCGGGUCGGUAAGUCCGCUCUGAAAGCCCGGGGCUCAACCCCGGGAGGCGGGUGGAUACUGUCGACCUCGAGUCCGGAAGAGGCGAGUGGAACUCCUGGUGUAGCGGUGGAAUGCGCAGAUAUCAGGAAGAACACCGACGGCGAAGGCAGCUCGCUGGGACGGUACUGACGCUGAGGCGCGAAAGCGUGGGGAGCGAACAGG